Long non-coding RNA from Hirundo rustica (Barn swallow), 7985 nucleotides. RefSeq lists it as uncharacterized. The transcript has 4 exons. NCBI's taxonomy places the organism in Eukaryota, Metazoa, Chordata, Aves, Passeriformes, Hirundinidae. The record is from RefSeq and is a predicted model, not a curated record.
GCCGUGGGAGCGGAGGGUGGCCGGGAGGCGGUGGGGGAAGCUUUUGGCACAGGGAUGGCAGAGGAGCCCUGAGGGCACCUUGCUGCAGGGGCAGAGGCCACGGGCGGGGACAGAGGGACGCGCGUUCCCCUGGGAGAGCGCAAAACGAAGCAGCAGGCUGAGCGAAGGACGUGGUGUUCACACAUCAUCCCGCAGUGGAAUAGCAUCAGAAGCAUCACCACAGAUUUCUUCCUUUGGACAUUUGUGUAUGGUUUUCUUUCUUGCAUUUGUACGGUCAGAGAAACGUCAUAGUUCUUUCGUCUUGUUUCUCUGAUUUUUAUUCCAUUCAGGUGACAGCUUGCUGAAUUUGGAUGCAGUAGCUCUGUAAAAUUAUUAGUACCCUUAAGAAUUCUCCACCGCCCCCGCCAGUUGCCAUUUUGUAGAGCUUUUGUGUAAAGUGUGCCCAACUGGUUUAAAAGUUUAAUAUUUUCCCCAUAAAGCAGUUUGAGAAGAUUUUGUACUGUCUUUCCUUUGAAAAAUGUCCGUGACAGUUACCCGGAAAACACAAACAGGAGAAACAGAGUGUUUUCCUUUUGUCAAACCAUUCUCUCGCACAGGUCGGUGAGGUGUAACGGUGGAAACCAUAAGCUUGGGUUGAGUGUGUAGUAACUUAGGCACUGCUGUGUUGCAUAUCCCUAAAUACAAGUCAAGCCAUUUUCUUCUUUUUCCUUAGCAAUGUAAAUAUAAUCUCACGGGGGAGGGGAAAAAAAAAGAGAAAAAAAAAAAAAAAAAAAGACUGAACGAAUUUUAAGAAUUCCUAAUAAAUAAUAAGCUUAUUCUAAUAAAGGUAUCCAUGAAUGUUAAAAACUAACUAGGAAGUGUUAAAACCUACCAGGAAAAAAAAAGAGAAUGGCAAAUAUAUUUAACCUUUUUUCCCCUAAUGUUUUUCUCCCAUUUGUUCUUUCUGAGCUCAGCUGGUGUAUUAAAGGAGUUAAUGACGAUAAUGAGCUUACAUUUACAGUGCCUUUCUUCUUGAAGAGUCCCAAAGGGCAUUACAAACAGAUAUGAUAAAUUCACCGCUUGUUCUUAAAGGGUACUGGGGAUUUUUGCUGCUGGCGUUUAUAUGACAGGAGCUAGCAAACAUACUGCCCUUCUACAUACUUCUGCAAGAAAUAUGGAUCAUCAAGAAGAAGGUUAAGCAGUGUUUGGUUGACAUCGCUGAUCCUGUAAAGGGUUCAUAGAAUCACAGAAUGGUUUGCGUGGGAAGGGGCCUUCAAGAUCAUCUGGUUCCAGCCCUCUGGCCAUGUACCUUCCAUAGACCAGCAUGCUCAGAGCCCCAUGCAGCCUUGCCUGGAACACUUCCAGGGACAGGACAUCCACAGCUGCUCUGGGGAACUUGUUCCUUACCAGCCUCACAGUAAAGGAUUUCUUCCUAAUACCUAAUCUAAAAGGACUCUCUUUCAUUUUGAAGCCACUCCCCCUUGUCCUAUCACUACGUGCCCUUGUGUCUCUAUGCUGCUUUAAGGUCUCCCCGGAGCCUUUUCUUCUCCAGCCUGUCUUGGUAGGAGAGGUCCUUCAUCCCUCUAAUUAUCUUUGUGGCCCUUUUCUGGUCUAGCCCCAACAGGAGGCCUGUGUUCUUGUCAUGUUGGUGUCCCCAGAGCUGAACACAGCACUCCCGGUGCGGUCUCACCAGAGCAGAGCAGAGGGGCAGAAUCCCCUCCCUCAACCUGCUGGCCACACUUUGGGUGCAUCCCAGAAUACUGUUAGCAAUGCUCAACAGUUCAUCACUGAAGAAGAAAGAGUAUAUUUCCCAAAACAACUUCUGACUUUUUGGUUUUGAACUAUGGUGUGCUCAGCUGCUUUACACUUGUUCAGGCAGAUAGAAGAGGACAACUUUUUUGUCCAUAAAAAACACAGAUUUACUUAUCCUGUUUUCUUACAUCUCACUGGAUUUUGUUGUGUAUUCUGUCAUAGUAAUCUAAGUUUGAAAAGAGCAUAAUUAUUGUGAUGUGGUAUCAUUGGCUUUUUUACUUCAGGCAGAUAAAUGUACUCUAAUCAACAGGAGGAAUUUUGUUGUUGAAUUCAGUUUCUUAUAUGGUGGGGCCAGGCUCUAUAACAAAUGCUGAAAAUUUUGAAAUUUGAACUCGAAAAGAAUUUGAAGUUUAAUGAUAAAAAGUUUCUUAUAAUUAGCAUUUUGUGCAUUUAUUGACAUCCAUUAGGAAACCUUCAGAUAGCUCCUCAGUAUAGAUUGCUCUUCCUGUCUAGUUUCACAUUUUAAAUUAUAAUGCUUUUCCCUUUAACCUUUCUCAUUUGCUGAAGUUUGAAUUCUGUUUUAAAGGAUAAAUGUCAUUGCUCAUGUCACACAGUCCAAGUAAAUUUGUUUGAUAGGUUAUCCUUGUUUUAAAAGAGAAGUUCAGCAACUAUUCAAUUACAGUUAGUAAUUAAAAAACCCCAAGUAUAUAUGUUACAUGGAAAACUGUGAUGUGGUUGAUACUUGCAUUGCUGAUUUUCUGUCCUUUUUUAUCCAAAAGGCAGAAUGAUGUAUUGAAUAUUUACCAGCAGUAAAAAUUGGGUUGAGAAGUCAUGGACUCUUUUUUUACGGUGAAUGACUUGAGGAAUAAGUUAUUUUUCUAUGAUGUGGAGCUGUGGGAAAGAGUAUCUAUUAUCAGUGGUUAUCCUUGAUAGAACGUAGUUUAAGGCAAUGAGGGUGAAGCCAAUGUGUGAUGUCCAUCCACAAAAAUUCAUUCUAUUUCAGUCUCUUCUGUUAGCAUCAUUCCUUUUACCCUUAUGAUCAUCUUCACAAGUUUCUGUACAGAAAGUGCUCAAACAGUAAAGGUCUCAAUACUAAAGGUGAGAUGAAAAGACUUACUUUUUUUUCUUUGUCUGGCUAUAAAAUUCAGAUCAGUAAAAAAACCCAAACCCAAAAACACAACACCUUUCCUUCUUAAAAGCUUAUCUGAGUUUUUCACUGUAAUUGGCAAGAAGUGUCGAAAGGCAGUAAGAGUCAUAUGGACACAGUUUAAACCUUUACAGACUGUGAAAGUGUUGGAUCAUUUUCAGCCUGAGAGAUUUUUCUUUAAGCAUCCACCAUGGUGAAAUUCUUAAUCAUUGCAUUUCAGAGAAUUCUUAGAUAUUUGUUUGUUUGUGUGGGGUUUGUUUGAUUUUGCUUAGCUGCUUUAUACAAAGUAUUUCUUUCUAUAUCUACCAGAGUUUGACUAUUUCAGCUCAUUUGAAUUGGAGCUAUAAACCCUAAAAAGCACAAACUGGUAUUCAAGGUUUCAAGUUAGACUGCCACUGUGAUAUAGAUACUCAGCAUGAAUGUUGCUGCCGUGUCACUUCUUGCCCUAGUUUGUUAUUUAAUGCAAACCUGAAGUUCAAGGGAAAUUAAGAUCUGAACUGUGGUAACUUCUUAUUUAUGCUCCAUGAACUCUGGAAGAUCUUUAAGGCCACAACAAAGGUUUCACUCAUGGAAGAAACCGAGAAACUGAUUGUGGAGAAACUGCGGGAAGACUGAGAGCUCCACGAUUUCCAGUUGCAACCAUACUGAGGAAUUCCAAAGAAUUUCAAAAGGUUUUGGCAGCACUGCUGUCCUUGGGAUGGCCAAGAUUGCCCAGCACAGCAGCACCUCCUCUCAUCCAGCUGCAGUCCAGCCAAGAGUGGGUGAUCACAUGUAUCUCAGAGUGGCAGAGGUAGUUGGCAUCCUAGUAGCUAGUUUUAAGCAGCCUUGUGCAGCUAUAAGGAGAAAUUAAGAAAAUGAGAGGAAGGGGAGAUGAGAAAGACUCCAAAAGACAAAGAAGGAGAGAAAUCAAGGCUGGCAGAAAAAAAGUAGUCUUGAGUGAGGAAGAAGGGAUUCUCUUGAGAGAAUAUGAGGAAAGAAGAAGAGCUUAAAGAAUAGAAUGGAGAAGGGAGACACUAUAGUAUAGACACUGUCUCAUCCCUUGAAAUCAAAAAGCAGACAUCUUGAGAUUAUUUGUUCCUAGCCCUUUUGAGAUUUUUCUGUACUUUGGUAUGCUAAAAUGUAUUUAAUAGUUAACAGAACCUUAUGUUUUUUUACAGGCAGAUGAUUUUCUCCUUUCCUAUGCCACAUUAAACUACUAAAUAUGCAUCUUGGACAUGCACUAACUUUUGUGUCGUAUGAAGUGCACUCCAAACAGUCGUAUGUAUCAUAAAUAACAUAUAUUAAUUGCCCCUUAAUUGCUAGGCUAAGUGUAGGCCAUUGCUUUGACUGUAGGAGAUGUUUGGUUUUUUCUGCUCUGAGCUCUGUCUUCUACAAUGCAAUAGCUUGGUACUUCACUCUUUUAUUUUAUUUUAUUUAUUUAGUCUUCAGGUUUUUUUAUUUUCUGCCACUUUAACAUUACUCUCAGUACUUUCAUCUGCCAAGGUAAUUUACCUAUUGUGUACCUUUUCUUUGAGCUUAUUAAUGAAGUUAUUAAAAUAAGAAACCACCUUGCAGUAUGCCUACCCCUGCCUACUUCCCCAUAACUUAGCGCAAUUUGCUGCCGUUUCUCAUCAGCCAGUGUUUGUGAUUCUUCAGCCUGUUUCCAAUUUACAUGACAGUGCUUACGUCCGAAGCAAUUUGGAUUCAUUUUGGGAGAUUUAGUAAGACACUGUAUUAAACCCUUUAUUAAAAUCAUGCUGUGUAUCCCUCAUCCAGGGUUUUUGCAGUUCUAUCAAAAAACCAAUCACGUUUCCUUGGCACGACAUGUUCCUUAUGAACCCAUGCUGCUUAUUGCUCAUUGUACCAUUAUCCUUUGAAUGUUCAGAGGAGUGUUUCAGAGUCAUGAGUUUUGUUUCUUUUUUCUGUUUAUUUUCUUUUUCCCCUCAGCAAAUGUUCUGUUCUUUCUCAUUACAGAAUAUGCUUGAAAUUAAACUCCUUGUUUAAUAAGCCACACUUCUUCCCUUUAUUGAUGUUUGAGGCUAUAUUUCCUAUGCUAUAUGACUUUUCAGAAAUAGUUUUUGAUGGCUUACUGUUUUCAGUGUGCACUUAGGGAUGCCUUUGAUGUGGGCUAAUUGACUAGAUACAACUGUUUUUCUUACUUUUGUGCCAUCCAUAGCAAUUUUUUCUUUCUUGUCCUGAUUUUGGCUAGGAUAGAGUUAAUUUUUUUCCUAGCAGCUGGUGCAGUGCUGUGUUUUGGAUUCAAGAAGAAUGUUUUAACACAUUGAUGUUUUAAUUGUUGCAUAUUACUGCUUACCCUAAGUCAAGGACAUUUCAGUUGGUUCGUGCUCUGCUGAUGAGGAGCUGCGUAGGAAGCUGGGAGGGAACAUGGCCAGGACAGGUGACCUGAACUGGUGAAAAGGAUGUUCCAUACCACAGAACAUCAUCCCUGUAUAUAAACUGGGAGAAGUUGCCCGGGAGCCUGGGAGCUGCUUGAGGAUGGGCUGGGCAUUGGUCAAUGGAUGCUCAGCAGCUGUCUUGUGCAUCACUUGUUUCUCUUGGGUUUUAUUCCUCUCUUGGUUUUAUAUCAUUAUUAUUACUGUUGUUACUACUAUUAUAUUUUACUUUAUUUUAAUUAACAAAAUCCUCUUAUCUCAACCCACAGGCUGUACCUUUUUGUGAUCCUCUUUCCCAUCCCACCGGGGAAGGAGACCUGGGGAGUGAGGCAGGGGCUGUGUGGUACUAAGUUCCCAGCUGUGGUUAAACCAUGGUACUUGUUUUUGGUCAAACGUACUUUCAAUGAGAACAAAAAGUAAAUACAUAUAUGUGGGAAACACUAGUUUUGCCCACCUCGUUCUCACCAAAGUAGCCCUACAUUUGAACUGUGUUUGCAUUUAUUUUAUAUCUUUUAACAAUUUCCUUUGGUAUCAUUAACUUGUUCUUGACUUUAUCCUGAGAGCCAUUGAACACUUUAACAGAGUUCCAGUGAAAUUGUAAGAAUAUAUUUCCUUUUCAUUGCUCAAGUCAUCCUGCAGGAAUUUGGAUAUUCCGUUUUUCAUCUUUUCCCUGAAGAGUAGCCCACUGUAUGUAUUGUCUUCAUAAGUAAACACAACACCCUAGGGAGAAGAGUUGUUUGAAACUAUAAUAAAUGUCAUACACAUUCUCCCUUUCAUGACUUAUUUGUUCUCUGUUAGGGACAGAUACAGAGUCUGUUAAUGUUGUAGACAAUUAAUUUUUAUCACACCCUUACUUGCCAAAUGUAAUAUUUUGGCUUAGAGUUCUCUUUUCUGUUUUGGUUUGCUUUGGGUUUUUUUAUUUUAUUUUUUCCUAUUUUUUUUUUUCUUUUUCCUCUCUCCCCCCUCUGUAUCCCAUGAUGAUUGAUAACUUCUGAAGGAUGACAGGGAAUAAGGAAAUCAGCUAACUGCAUCUCAGCAGCUGGUGGGUUACUUUUUGUACAUUUUUAUGUUAUAACCUUGUGAAAACAUUUCUGCAACUUCUUGUAGAUAUUCUAUAUUAGAAAAAAAUCUAUAUUUGUUUUAAACGCUGAAAUCCUUGUCUUCUACAGCAUUGUUCCAAUUUACCAGCAUCUAUUAUUGAGGACAUAGUAUAGAGUCACUGGUAAUGUCAGCAGGUCAUUAAGGAGAAGAAGCAGUCAGGGAUGCCAGCUCUUUUGUCACUGGUCUUAUGAAUCACAGAUGUCCAGGACCACAGAAGGCAUCUGAGGGUGUUGGUAAAAGCUGCCUGUGGUGAUGUUAAAUCAGGCUGUGCUUUUUCUACAUAAAUAGCAGCACACUUAUCUCUGUAUAGGUGUAAACCUCAGUUUGCUGCAUCAGUUAGUAUAUUCUUCUCUUAAAAUCAUCAGCAAAUACCCUGAUUUAAGUAAUGACCUUUGGUACCAGAACAUGUCUGUCAAAUAAAAUAUCAUUAGGAGGCACUUGUUAUUUGUGCUCAGUAAUAAAUUCUAGUAUACUCUUUACAAGACUGAAAAUAUCUUGUCACUGAGACCAUGGUCAUUUCCCGUGGCAGAAACAUGUUCACUUGAGUGGUAAGUAAAUUACUUGUACAGUGGGACACAAUUUUUGCUGUGGCUGUUCUUUGCUUACUAGGCCAGCAAAGACAGAGAGAGGUAAAGUAAAUUUCCUUUUAGCUACUUUGACUCUAAAACAUCUAAAAACUGCUUUGAGGUUGAGGGAUGCUUACAGAAAUAGUGCUCUGGACUGUCAUCUGCAGCCCUCUUUCCUCCUGAGGGGUGUCACAGAGCCGUGCUAGAUGAUGUUUGGCCAUCAGAUACUUUCUUAAAUCAGGGAAAACUCAUUUGCCUUGUUUUAGCUGCUUUUUAAUAUGUGUAGUUUGUAGCACAAGGAGACCAGGAAAAAAAAAAUAAAAGGUCAAGGAUCCAGUCUGAUCACUGUAAAGAGCUUUAGAAACGUGUUGUUGACCUCCCAAAGAACUUAAUUCCAUGGAAGCCUGAACAGCAGAGAAAGCCAUAUGUUUUCUGGAAGAAAAAUAUAUUAUUGGCUGGAAGAGGUUAUUGCAGUUGUUUUAAAAAAUAGUAAUUCAAAUUUCCAAAUAAAAUAAUCUUGAAUCCCCUUUCAAAUGACUAUGGUUUGAAAGAAAGCUAAUGGCAAUUAUUUUUCUCUCUACCUUUAGUUCUAGAAUGUAAGUUAAGGGUUAUUAAAUCUAAUUGUGAAAUUAAUAUUAUCUCUUUUGAUAAUGCUUAUUUUUUUUCUUAGCAUCCAUUGUGAAACUGUAUUUCAUUUGGGUGUUGGCAAAAUGGUAGCUUCCUGUAGAGCGAAACACAUAUGCAUUUCAUGUGGAACACAUGUACCAUAUAUGAGCCUGGUUGAACUCUAUCUUGCUGUGAGCUAAGUCUUCUGUCACAUCCCCUCCCACUUUUUAAAGCAAAAAGUGUUGAAUGACCUCGGGAUCCCCACCACCAAGAAGCCCAGGGUGAAGAAGGACCGACGAGAUACUGUUGGAUCCACAGAAAAGAACAAAUAGAGCUUCAUAUGAAUAUCAAGCAAAAAGGAUCCAUGUCUUUGAAGCCCUGAAGCUCCUUUCUCUGAGCCAAGAGAAACUCCAAUGCAAAAGUGAAAUGCAGAAGAACUUGUUAAAGUAUAUUAAUCAUGAA